Molecule: microRNA, 25 nt
Filed under: Equus caballus (horse)
Lineage: Eukaryota; Metazoa; Chordata; Mammalia; Perissodactyla; Equidae
Source: RNAcentral
CUGCCCAGAAUGGUGCUGACUACGU